RNAcentral lists this ribosomal RNA (484 nucleotides) under uncultured bacterium. RNAcentral's name for it is "partial 16S ribosomal RNA". It matches the Rfam family "Bacterial small subunit ribosomal RNA", at positions 30 to 507 of the family's 1533-position model. The record is from RNAcentral.
AUUGAACGCUGGCGGCAUGCUUUACACAUGCAAGUCGAGCGGCAGCACGUGGUCACCCCUGGUGGCUAGCGGCGAACGGGUGAGUAAUACAUCGGAACAUGCCCAGUCGUGUGGGCUAACCCUUCGAAUAAAGUGCUAAUACCGCAUCCGUUCUGCGGUAGAACUCGGGGGAUCUCCAUACCUCGCGCGAUUGGAUUGUCCGAUGUCAGAUUAGCUAGUUGGUGGGGUAAAGGCCUACGAAGGCAACGAUCUGUAGCUGUUCUGAGAGGAUGAUCAGCCACACUGAGACUGAGACACGGACGAGACUCAUACGGGAGGCAGAAGUGGGGAAGGUUGGAAAAUGGGGGCAACCGUGAGCCAGACAUUGCGCGUGAGUGAAGAAGGCCUUCGGGUUGUAAAGCUCUUUCGGCAGGGACGAAAAGGCGAGCUCUAAGAUAGAUGGCUAAUGACGGUACCUGAAGAAGAAGCACCGGCUAACUACGUG